Molecule: transfer RNA, 81 nt
Filed under: Cordylochernes scorpioides
Lineage: Eukaryota; Metazoa; Arthropoda; Arachnida; Pseudoscorpiones; Chernetidae
Description: tRNA-Thr
Rfam family: tRNA
About the family: Transfer RNA (tRNA) molecules are approximately 80 nucleotides in length. Their secondary structure includes four short double-helical elements and three loops (D, anti-codon, and T loops).
Source: RNAcentral
GUCCAGGGUAGCCUAGUGGUCAUGGCAUCUGCCCGGUAAGCGGAAGGUCAAGGUCGUGGGUUCGAUUCCCAUCCCUUGACA